Molecule: ribosomal RNA, 253 nt
Filed under: uncultured bacterium
Lineage: Bacteria
Description: partial 16S ribosomal RNA
Rfam family: Bacterial small subunit ribosomal RNA
Source: RNAcentral
UACGUAGGGGGCUAGCGUUGUCCGGAUUUAUUGGGCGUAAAGAGCGUGUAGGCGGCCAGGUAGGUCUGGUGUGAAAACUCGAGGCUUAACCUCGAGAUGUCAUCGGAAACCAUCUGGCUAGAGUCCGGAAGAGGAGAGUGGAAUUCCUGGUGUAGCGGUGAAAUGCGCAGAUAUCAGGAAGAACACCAAUGGCGAAAGCAGCUCUCUGAGACGGUACUGACGCUGAGACGCGAAAGCGUGGGGAGCGAACAGG